AAGAAAGUGACUGCUGCCCCGCACAGGGGCGAGCUAAUAGACCAUUAAGAAAACAAGUUUCAUAGGAACCUACGUGCAUCAAACGGUGUAAAACACCCCGUCCAAGCGCCAGCGCCUA
RNAcentral lists this small RNA (118 nucleotides) under Caballeronia glathei. Its description in RNAcentral is "Burkholderia glathei Burkholderia sRNA Bp1_Cand684_SIPHT". It matches the Rfam family "Burkholderia sRNA Bp1_Cand684_SIPHT". Lineage: Bacteria; Pseudomonadati; Pseudomonadota; Betaproteobacteria; Burkholderiales; Burkholderiaceae. The record is from Rfam by way of RNAcentral.